RNAcentral lists this long non-coding RNA (3335 nucleotides) under Sus scrofa (pig). Its description in RNAcentral is "lncRNA (ENSSSCG00000062509.1)". The record is from RNAcentral. Lineage: Eukaryota; Metazoa; Chordata; Mammalia; Artiodactyla; Suidae.
UUUUUUUUUUUUUUUUUUUUUUUUUUGCUGCUCUGGUGGGGUCAGGCUUCCUCCGCUCCACCGCCCCGCGCGCAGUAGGCUUUGCUGGGCUUCAAAAUGCAGGGCGAGAGGAUGUAAGCCUUUUAUUGUCAGUUAAAGAGGAUUAAACUUUGCUCAGUGUUAGCAGAAAAUGAUCAAUCUCCAGAAAUUAAUUUAGAGGUCAGAGUGGACUUUAAAGUGGUACUCCACACUACUCCAGUGUGUCACUUGCCAUGUGGAGAGACUGAGUCGCCUUGCAGAACACAGAUGGCUUACAUUCCGUGGUUUUACUUUUAUGUACAGUUUUUUUUACUUGUUCAGGGUCGUCCCAUGAAGAAUAAGCUUCUUUUGAAACAACAAAUGUCUAGGUACAUGGUAAACAUUUAGUAAAUACAGUUAACACUUGCUAACCUAUCCUGGGUCAGAGUUCAACCGUAUUUUUUUAGCAUCUGUAGAUGGCACUGUAUUGUUUUUACAGGGGAUACAUAUGUAGUAAGGCAGUGUCUGCUCUAGAAAGCUUAGUUUAGUGGGCAUGUGGGGAGGGUUAGGUUUUUCACAGAGUGCCAGGUGUACCCUAAAUCCUUGAGGUUAAAUAGACAUAUCUUCCUAGAGUGUUGGUCAAAAAGCAUAUUUAAGUAUUAAAACAGUCUAAUAAUAACACUGAAAAAUUCACAUUAAAAUUUAAUUUUGGGGUUCCUGUUGUGGCUCAGUGGUAACAAACCUGACCAGGAUCCAUGAGGAUGCGGGUUCGAUCCCUAGCCUCACUCAGUGGGUUAAAGAUCCGGGGUUGCUGUGAUCUGUGGUGUAGGUCGCAGAUAUAGCUCAGACCCCACAUUGCUGUGGCUGUGGCAUAGGCUGGCAGCUAAAGCUCGGAUCCAACCCCUAGCAUAGGAAGUUCCGUGGGCAGUGGGUGUGGCCCUAAAAAAAAAUUAAUAUUCCAGGCAGCCUAUUGUGACAGCCCUGGGGCUUUCCGUUCAUUUUUUCUGUAUAAUUAGAUAUACUUCUAAUGGAAAAGUUUGAGAAGCAUAGAAAACACAGCUUUUAUCAUAUGAGGCAAAGUCUGGUCAGCAUUAAAAUAAAACUGUUAAUAAAAGUGGUAUAGGGGUUCAAAGGAAGGUUCAGAGUCCCUGCCAAAACAGAAACAAAAACAAAAAACUUUGUGAUGGAGGUGAGUAUUUGAACAGCUUUAAAGAAUUUAGAAGUUUGCCAGGUAAAGGUGAAGGAAGAAAGGGUAUUCUAGGUGAUGGGGUCAGCAUGAAGGCCAAAAAAAUAGAAUUGAGUCCAGAACCUGGAGGGCUUUGAAUGCCAGGAUAAAGAAGUGGCGGCAUUCCCGUUGUGGCUCAGCGGUAACCAACAUGACUAGUAUCCACGCGGACGAGGGUCUAGUCCCUGGCCUCACUCAGAGGGUUAAGGUUCCUGUGUUGCCAUGAGCUUUGGUAUAGGUCACAGAUGCAGCAUGGAUCCUGAGUUGCUGUGGCUGUGGUGUAGGCUGGCAGCUAUAGCUCUGAUUCAACCCCUAGCCUGGGGAAUUUCCAUAUGCUGCAGGUAUGGCCCUAAAAAUAAAAAAUGAAAAACAAAACAAAAAAUAAGUGAAUAAUUUAAUAAAACAGGAGAGAGAUUUCAGGGUUUUAGACCAGAGAUCGCAGAUCAGAACAGUUCAUUAGGAAGAUUAACCUAGUGGUAAUGAAUAAAAAUCAUUUAGAAUUCUAGGUAGAGAGAUACUAGACAGUCCAGCCAGGAGUCCAUUGUGAUACUCUUAAGUGGGAGAUAGGAUUUAAACUAGAAACAUGGUAGUUUAGAAUAGAAAACAAUAAACCUAAUUGAGAGAGUCUACGGCAAUGGAAUCUACUAGGUUAGCAGAUGAUUGAACAUAGGGGCUGAGGAGGCCAUGUGCCUUAAGGUGUAGAAACAAUGAACUUAAAAAUAGAAGUCAAGUUGGAAAUGGAAUUGGAAGCAGACGAAAAUGAGGUGUUCAAUUUUGAAAACAUUGACUUUUUAAAAGCCAGUGAGCCAUUUGGUGGCGAUAUCCAGGCACUGAAGAUUUAGGAUAAAUGACCUCUGAGAUUUCUACAACCGAAAUUUUAGACUUCUAGGAAAUACAGAUCUGGAGUUUGGGAUAAAAGUAGAAGCCAAAUGUGGGAGUUCCCGUUUUGGUUCAGGGAUUAAAAACCUGGCUAUUAUCCAUGAGGAUGUGGGUUUUAUCAGUGGGUUAAGGAUCCAGCAUUGCUGCAAGCCGCAGUGUAGGUCGAGGAUGUGGCUCAGAUCUGGCAUUGCUGUGGCUGUGGCGUAAGCUGCCAGCUGCAACUUCUAUUCAACUCCUAGCCUGGGAACUUCCAUAUGUGUGCAGGUGUGGCCCUAAAAAGGAAAAAAAAAAAAAAAAAAAAAGAAGCCAAAUGUGAAUAAAAUUUAGGCUUCUUCACAUAAAUGUAAAUAUGGUGAUAGCGAUAUAACAAUAAAGCACAGAAAGGAAUAAGGAUAACCAGUUGAAGAAGAGCAGCAGAGGACUUUCUUUUUUGGAGAGUAGGCAAGGCUCAAGCAUGAAAAGGGGAAGGGACAAGUUGAGAGAGAAAAAUUAAAAAUGUAAUUAUCUACUUUAAAGAGGAGAUAAAGAAUGUAAGUUUUAGGGAGUUCCCGUCCUGGCUCAGUGGUUAACAAAUCUGACUAGGAACCAUCAGGUUGCAGGUUCGAUCCCUGGCCUUGCUCAGUGGGUUAAGGAUCCAGUGUUGCCAUGAGCUGUGGUGUAGCUUGCAGAUGGGGCUCGGGUCCCGUGUUGCUAUGGCUGUGGUGUAGGCUGGUGGCUACAGCUCCAAUUCAAUCCUUAGCCUGGGAACCUCCAUAUGCCACAGGUGUGGCAUGGGAGUGGCCCUAGAAAAGGCAAAAAGACAAAAAAAAAAAAAAAAAAAAGAGGAUGUAAGUUUUAGAGGAGAUCAUUAGAUCAAGGGGAGAGGCAGACAGGUUGGCUCUGACAACUGAAAAGGGAGAAUGGGAGGGGAAAUGUACAGAGAGACUUGGAAACAGCUAGACAUUUAGGGAAGUGACGUUGAAUGGACUUGCUUUUCUGAGGUUGAUCUUUUGAGAAUAGAAAAGAUGAUGGGGAAUUCCCUUUGUGGCUCAGCGGAAAACGAAUCUGACUAGCAUCCUUGAGGAAACAGGUUGGAUCCCUGGCCCUGACCAGUGGGUUAAAAAUCUGGUGUUGCCGUGAGCUGUGGUGUAGAUCGUAGACAUGGCUUGGAUCUAGCAUUGCUGUGGCUGUGGUGUAGGCCAACAGCUACAGCUCUGAUUUGACCCCUAGCCUGAGAACCUCUGUAUGCCACAAG